This is a long non-coding RNA of Etheostoma cragini (Arkansas darter), 218 nucleotides long. RefSeq lists it as uncharacterized. Lineage: Eukaryota; Metazoa; Chordata; Actinopteri; Perciformes; Percidae. The transcript has 3 exons. The record is from RefSeq and is a predicted model, not a curated record.
UUUUAAAUGUUUUUAAAGGGAGUUCUACAGUAUUGCAGGUGAAUGAUGUAAACCCUUUGAAAUAAAAGAUUAUGAAUUAUUAUUCUGGUAAUGAUGGUUCUGCAGCCUCAGAAUAGGAUUAGUAGGCCUAGGACCUUUUCACCCACAGGAUUGCACCUAAAAGAAAUAGAUUAUAGAUUCAAUACCAUUUCACCGGUAAUAUUAUACUUAUGAUUAAA